This is a long non-coding RNA of Micropterus salmoides (largemouth bass), 1029 nucleotides long. RefSeq lists it as uncharacterized. The transcript has 2 exons. The record is from RefSeq and is a predicted model, not a curated record. Lineage: Eukaryota; Metazoa; Chordata; Actinopteri; Centrarchiformes; Centrarchidae.
GGCCCUUUAUUUUUAAUUUAAUUUAAGCAUAUAUAAUAUUUCAACAUUUAACUAUUUAACAUGUUUGAUUCACAAAUGUAAGUGAUAUAUGAAUGAACUUAGAUUAACAUGUUGCCUAGGGUUAGUAUGUGUGUUUGUCUGUCUGUCAAUCAUUUUACGUCAAUGACAUUGUAAGUCUGUUUUUAGAUUUCUAGUGUUGGGGCAGCCAUCUUUUUGUUUUCAUUUGGUCACUGGUUAUAACCUUAAGUACCUUGCAUGAGCAUGACAGAGAAUGAUGCAGUGACUUGGGAAGUUUACUUUGUGAGAGACACAAUUGAGAAGGCACUUGACUUCCCUUAAGAAGCCAUCUGUAAACUGUGUGUGCCUACAGUACAGUACAGUACACGCUGUCCCUAAUGUUAACACCACAGAUAAUACUCUCAGAGCUUCAUAGAUUAACUGCCAACACAGAGAUGAUAACUAUGCUGUUGUCACGGCCCUCCCUGCUGCGACCUAGCCGUGACUCCUGAUGACUGUGUGUGUGAGAAUAUUUUUGUUUAUUUUGUUCCCUUCGGUGUGGCUGUUGUGUUUUGGUUUGGCUUUUUUCUCCUUUCUCCCUCUCUCCCUCAUCUCCCGGUCUGCAGGGUAGUUGGGGGACGUGACUGUUGCCUUGGGAGCUGAUUGCCAUCUAAUCCUGUUGCCGCACCUGAUCCUCGCUCCCUCGGGUUCCAGUCUUAUUUAAGUGGGAGCCUGACAUCCUGUCCUCGCUGGAUCGUUAAGUUGUACUCGAACUCCAACCCGUCUGGAACCGAUAUUCAACCCUAUUAGAAGACAUCUGGAUUGAACUUCCUCGCCAGUCACCUGUCAGCUCCCCUUUGCUGUUGCUCACGCUCACCAGCCAGUCUGUUCGCUUGCUCCCUUGCCCAGCUUCACAGUCUCCUGCCCUGUCCGUUAGUCUACUCCCGUAGCCAGCUCUGCUCAGCUAGCCCCAGCCCCCAUCAGCCACUACCUGCUCUGCCUUUCUGUCUGAAUAUAUUCCUGAAAACCUGU